GCCUCUUUAGCUCAGCUGGUAGAGCAACUGACUUGUAAUCAGUAGGUCGCUGGUUCGAUCCCGGCAAGGGGCUCCA
RNAcentral lists this transfer RNA (76 nucleotides) under Algoriphagus sp. AK58. Its description in RNAcentral is "tRNA-Thr". It matches the Rfam family "tRNA". Rfam says of the family: Transfer RNA (tRNA) molecules are approximately 80 nucleotides in length. RNAcentral also lists the same sequence under 3 other names. Lineage: Bacteria; Pseudomonadati; Bacteroidota; Cytophagia; Cytophagales; Cyclobacteriaceae. The record is from RNAcentral.